GUGAGUAACCUGCCCUUGACUUCGGGAUAAGCCUGGGAAACCGGGUCUAAUACCGGAUACGACCUCCUGGCGCAUGCCAUGGGGGUGGAAAGCUUUAUUGCGGUUUUGGAUGGACUCGCGGCCUAUCAGCUUGUUGGUUGGGGUAAUGGCCCACCAAGGCGACGACGGGUAGCCGGCCUGAGAGGGUGACCGGCCACACUGGGACUGAGACACGGCCCAGACUCCUACGGGAGGCAGCAGUGGGGAAUAUUGCACAAUGGGCGAAAGCCUGAUGCAGCGACGCCGCGUGAGGGAUGACGGCCUUCGGGUUGUAAACCUCUUUCAGCAGGGAAGAAGCGAAAGUGACGGUACCUGCAGAAGAAGCGCCGGCUAACUACGUGCCAGCAGCCGCGGUAAUACGUAGGGCGCAAGCGUUAUCCGGAAUUAUUGGGCGUAAAGAGCUCGUAGGCGGUUUGUCGCGUCUGCUG
RNAcentral lists this ribosomal RNA (467 nucleotides) under Arthrobacter gandavensis. Its description in RNAcentral is "bacterial SSU rRNA". It matches the Rfam family "Bacterial small subunit ribosomal RNA", at positions 117 to 594 of the family's 1533-position model. Lineage: Bacteria; Bacillati; Actinomycetota; Actinomycetes; Micrococcales; Micrococcaceae. The record is from RNAcentral.